RNAcentral lists this transfer RNA (65 nucleotides) under Actinomadura madurae. It matches the Rfam family "tRNA". From Rfam's summary of the family: Transfer RNA (tRNA) molecules are approximately 80 nucleotides in length. Their secondary structure includes four short double-helical elements and three loops (D, anti-codon, and T loops). Lineage: Bacteria; Bacillati; Actinomycetota; Actinomycetes; Streptosporangiales; Thermomonosporaceae. The record is from Rfam by way of RNAcentral.
GUCCCCGAGGUGGGGGCACCUCCUUGGUAUGGAGGAGACGGCGGGUUCGACUCCCGCCGGGGGCU